AUGAUGAUCACGGUGUUCCGGAAGUCCACCGUCCUGCCUUGCCCGUCGGUCAGCCGGCCGUCGUCCAGCACCUGGAGGAGCGUGUUGAACACCGCCACGUGCGCCUUCUCCACCUCGUCGAACAGGAUCACGCUGUACGGCCGCCUCCUCACCUGCUCCGUCAGCUGCCCGCCCUCCUCGUGCCCGACAUAG
This 192-nucleotide ribosomal RNA is filed under the name Triticum aestivum (bread wheat). Its description in RNAcentral is "partial small subunit ribosomal RNA". The record is from RNAcentral. Lineage: Eukaryota; Viridiplantae; Streptophyta; Magnoliopsida; Poales; Poaceae.